This 274-nucleotide ribosomal RNA is filed under the name uncultured bacterium. Its description in RNAcentral is "partial 16S ribosomal RNA". It matches the Rfam family "Bacterial small subunit ribosomal RNA", at positions 523 to 796 of the family's 1533-position model. The record is from RNAcentral.
CUACGAAGGGGGCUAGCGUUGUUCGGAAUUACUGGGCGUAAAGCGCGCGUAGGCGGCUUGUUAAGUCGGAUGUGAAAGCCCUGGGCUCAACCUGGGAAUUGCAUUCGAUACUGCAGAGCUAGAGUAUGGUAGAGGGAAGUGGAAUUUCCGGUGUAGCGGUGAAAUGCGUAGAUAUCGGAAGGAACACCAGUGGCGAAGGCGGCUACCUGGACCGAUACUGACGCUGAUGCGCGAAAGCGCGGGGAGCAAACAGGAUUAGAAACCCCGGUAGUCC